CUGGCUCAGGGAGGUCGGCAACGACCACCCAGAGCCGGAAAGUUGGUCAAACUCGGUCAUUUAGAGGAAGUAAAAGUCGUAACAAGGUCUCCGUAGGUGAACCUGCGGAGGGAUCAUUA
This 119-nucleotide ribosomal RNA is filed under the name Ramularia vizellae. Its description in RNAcentral is "partial 18S ribosomal RNA". It matches the Rfam family "Eukaryotic small subunit ribosomal RNA", at positions 1715 to 1831 of the family's 1831-position model. Lineage: Eukaryota; Fungi; Ascomycota; Dothideomycetes; Mycosphaerellales; Mycosphaerellaceae. The record is from RNAcentral.